RNAcentral lists this ribosomal RNA (586 nucleotides) under uncultured bacterium. Its description in RNAcentral is "partial 16S ribosomal RNA". It matches the Rfam family "Bacterial small subunit ribosomal RNA", at positions 355 to 1375 of the family's 1533-position model. The record is from RNAcentral.
UGGGGAAUUUUGGACAAUGGGCGAAAGCCUGAUCCAGCAAUGCCGCGUGUGCGAAGAAGGCCUUCGGGUUGUAAAGCACUUUUGUCCGGAAAGAAAUCCUUGGCUCUAAUACAGUCGGGGGAUGACGGUACCGGAAGAAUAAGCACCGGCUAACUACGUGCCAGCAGCCGCGGUAAUACGUAGGGUGCAAGCGUUAAUCGGAAUUACUGGGCGUAAAGCGUGCGCAGGCGGUUUGCUAAGACCGAUGUGAAAUCCCCGGGCUCAACCUGGGAACUGCAUUGGUGACUGGCAGGCUAGAGUAUGGCAGAGGGGGGUAGAAUUCCACGUGUAGCAGUGAAAUGCGUAGAGAUGUGGAGGAAUACCGAUGGCGAAGGCAGCCCCCUGGGCCAAUACUGACGCUCAUGCACGAAAGCGUGGGGAGCAAACAGGAUUAGAUACCCUGGUAGUCCACGCCCUAAAACGAUGUCAACUAGUUGUUGGGGAUUCAUUUCCUUAGUAACGUAGCUAACGCGUGAAGUUGACCGCCUGGGGAGUACGGUCGCAAGAUUAAAACUUAAAGGAAUUGACGGGGUCAUAGCUGUUUCCU